AUACUUACCUGGCAAGGGAGACACCGUGAUCACCAAGGCGGUUCACCCAGGGCGAGGCUCAGGCCAUUGCACUGCGGCUGUGCUGACCCCUGCGAAUUUCCCAAAUGUGGAAAUCUCGAUUGCAUAAUUUCUGUUAGUGGGGGACUGCGUUCGCGCUCUCCCCUG
This is a small nuclear RNA of Esox lucius (northern pike), 165 nucleotides long. Its record names the gene U1. It matches the Rfam family "U1 spliceosomal RNA". Rfam says of the family: U1 is a small nuclear RNA (snRNA) component of the spliceosome (involved in pre-mRNA splicing). Its 5' end forms complementary base pairs with the 5' splice junction, thus defining the 5' donor site of an intron. The record is from Ensembl. Lineage: Eukaryota; Metazoa; Chordata; Actinopteri; Esociformes; Esocidae.